RNAcentral lists this long non-coding RNA (1259 nucleotides) under Olea europaea subsp. europaea. Lineage: Eukaryota; Viridiplantae; Streptophyta; Magnoliopsida; Lamiales; Oleaceae. The record is from RNAcentral.
ACCUUGUAUCCAAUGCAUCAAGAGCAAACCAACACAAAACAUUUCCUUGUAACUUCUUCAUACUUCUUUCCUGUACUUUAAAAAAUGUCAUCCAAAGCAGAUCUUGCAAGAAUAGAAAAAGAAGGCUUCGCUAUUCUGGAAGCGUUCCACAGAAAAAAGACGAGGCCUAAUCCACAAAAAUCUUAUGUUCCACCACAGUACCAACCACAACAGUCCCACCUUUAUCAGGUAAAACCAGACGAGAUUAUGAACUGCCACGAGGUGGUGCAUUAUCACAAUGGUGUGAUAGUUCAGGAUUUCAAUAAGAAAUCUCAAGCUAUAGCUCCUUAGACUCUCUUUUUGGACUGGUUUAUAUGUAAUAGGAUGAGUGUAUGUGUGUGUGUGUGUGCAUAGUUAAGUAUGCUUCCUUUGUAUGAUACAAAUGUGGAGUCACUUAUAUAUAUGCUAGUCACCUAGCAGUUUUAUGGUUGUAGAUGGAGUCUGUAACACUUUGUUAUACUAGUUGAAGUAUUAUCAGCUUCAGUAUUAAAUCAUUAUUCUUCCACCCUUCCACCCACCCUACAAACGGAACCGAUCAGAGCAUGGUCCUAUUAAGGCCGAAGUAGUGUCUUCAAGCCUGUUCAGUCCCUUUUUUUUUAAUUGAAAAAUAGCUCAGUGAAGAACACAAUUUCUAUUGAAUUUCAUCAAGAAUUUGGCAUAUAGGGUAAAGCUAAAUCAUGAGAUGAAAUGUUACAAAAGGUAUAACUGACCGUGAAAUGAUGUAAUAUCUGAUCAUGGUCAAGUGGCGUUCCAUUAAUACAAAAUGUUGGAAGUCUUUUUUCCAGCUAGUUGAGUUUCCUCAAGCCUUCACUUGUUGAAAUUCGGAUGUGCAUUGUUAUCCCACCUAUCUCGGGUAUGUAAAUAGAGUUGUUAAGGUGUCAAGUGGAAGUACGUAAAAAUAUGUUGACAUGACACAAAUUGGUUAAGUUUAACUUUACAAAUGUUUCAUUUUAACUUUCAUUUUUCAAUUGAAAAUCGUACUCAUUCGUAUACCAAAUCAUUGAACCUUUACUAGUUUUUUGUUAAAUUCUACAACAUGGCACACGGACGAAUUGUAUGUUUAUGUGUCCAUUGAAUAUAAGUGGCACACACAAAAAAUAAUUAAAUGAAUUUGUUUAGCAUUUUCAUCAAUUCUUUUUUAAUCCAACAUACUACAAGAUUACUAAUGUGUAGUACGAAUUAUUUUGUAGAUUAUAAUCCAUUAAAGCAUUAUGAGUAGC